This 253-nucleotide ribosomal RNA is filed under the name uncultured bacterium. Its description in RNAcentral is "partial 16S ribosomal RNA". It matches the Rfam family "Bacterial small subunit ribosomal RNA", at positions 524 to 776 of the family's 1533-position model. The record is from RNAcentral.
GACGAACCGUGCGAACGUUGUUCGGAAUCACUGGGCUUAAAGGGCGCGUAGGCGGCCUGCCAAGUCAGGGGUGAAAGCCCCCAGCUCAACUGGGGAAGUGCCUUUGAUACUGGCGGGCUCGAGCGAGGCAGGGGUCGUGGGAACUUCCGGUGGAGCGGUGAAAUGCGUUGAUAUCGGAAGGAACGCCGGUGGCGAAAGCGCACGACUGGUCCUCACCUGACGCUGAGGCGCGAAAGCCAGGGGAGCAAACGGG